CCUACGGGUGGCUGCAGUGGGGAAUUUUGGACAAUGGGGGCAACCCUGAUCCAGCCAUGCCGCGUGCGGGAAGAAGGCCUUCGGGUUGUAAACCGCUUUUGUCAGGGAAGACAUCUUCCGAGCUAAUACCUUGGGAGGAUGACGGUACCUGAAGAAUAAGCACCGGCUAACUACGUGCCAGCAGCCGCGGUAAUACGUAGGGUGCAAGCGUUAAUCGGAAUUUCUGCGGGUGAUUGGGGCGGACAGGUUUGAAAUCCCCGGGCUUAACCUGGGAACUGCACUUGUGACUGUACGGCUGGAGUACGGCAGAGGGGGAUGGAAUGCCGCGUGUAGCAGUGAAAUGCGUAGAUAUGCGGAGGAACACCGAUGGCGAAGGCAGUCCCCUGGGCCUGUACUGACGCUCAUGCACGAAAGCGUGGGGAGCAAACAGGAUUAGAUACCCGGGUAGUC
RNAcentral lists this ribosomal RNA (450 nucleotides) under uncultured bacterium. RNAcentral describes it as "partial 16S ribosomal RNA". It matches the Rfam family "Bacterial small subunit ribosomal RNA", at positions 338 to 795 of the family's 1533-position model. The record is from RNAcentral.